UGCUUAACACAUGCAAGUCGAACGAGAACGGCCCUAGCUUGCUAGGGUGUCAGCUAAGUGGCGGACGGGUGAGUAAUGUAUAGUUAAUCUGCCCCUUGGAGAGGGAUAACAGUUGGAAACGACUGCUAAUACCUCAUAUUCCUUAUGCUGUAAGAGUAUAAGGGAAAUGGUUUAUUCUGCCAAGGGAUGAGACUAUAUGAUAUCAGAUAGUUGGUGGGGUAAUGGCCUACCAAGUCAAUGACAUCUAGCUGGUCUGAGAGGAUGAUCAGCCACACUGGAACUGAGACACGGUCCAGACUCCUACGGGAGGCAGCAGUGGGGAAUAUUGCACAAAUGGAGGAAACUCUGAUGCAGCAACGCCGCGUGGAGGAUGACACAUUUCGGUGCGUAAACUCCUUUUAUAUGGGAAGAUAAUGACG
Molecule: ribosomal RNA, 419 nt
Filed under: uncultured prokaryote
Description: bacterial SSU rRNA
Rfam family: Bacterial small subunit ribosomal RNA
Source: RNAcentral